RNAcentral lists this ribosomal RNA (428 nucleotides) under Actinomycetes bacterium. RNAcentral describes it as "Actinobacteria bacterium partial 16S ribosomal RNA". It matches the Rfam family "Bacterial small subunit ribosomal RNA", at positions 355 to 776 of the family's 1533-position model. The record is from RNAcentral. Lineage: Bacteria; Bacillati; Actinomycetota; Actinomycetes.
UAGGGAAUCUUCCGCAAUGGGCGAAAGCCUGACGGAGCAACGCCGCGUGAGUGAUGAAGGUCUUCGGAUCGUAAAACUCUGUUAUUAGGGAAGAACAAAUGUGUAAGUAACUAUGCACGUCUUGACGGUACCUAAUCAGAAAGCCACGGCUAACUACGUGCCAGCAGCCGCGGUAAUACGUAGGUGGCAAGCGUUAUCCGGAAUUAUUGGGCGUAAAGCGCGCGUAGGCGGUUUUUUAAGUCUGAUGUGAAAGCCCACGGCUCAACCGUGGAGGGUCAUUGGAAACUGGAAAACUUGAGUGCAGAAGAGGAAAGUGGAAUUCCAUGUGUAGCGGUGAAAUGCGCAGAGAUAUGAUGAACACCAGUGGCGAAGGCGACUUUCUGGUCUGUAACUGACGCUGAUGUGCGAAAGCGUGGGGAUCAAACAGG